This is a non-coding RNA of Triticum aestivum (bread wheat), 126 nucleotides long. Lineage: Eukaryota; Viridiplantae; Streptophyta; Magnoliopsida; Poales; Poaceae. The record is from Rfam.
UAUGUACUCCCUCCAUCCGAAAAAACUUGUCCCAAGCUUGUCCAUCAAAUGGAUGUAUCUAGCACUAAUUUGGUGCUAGACACAUCUAUUUAAGGGACAAACUUUUUCGGACGGAGGGAAUAGUAG